Molecule: long non-coding RNA, 2360 nt
Organism: Mya arenaria
Lineage: Eukaryota; Metazoa; Mollusca; Bivalvia; Myida; Myidae
Exons: 3
Source: RefSeq, a predicted model, not a curated record
AUUCUAGGAAAACUGAAAGGCAGUUAAGGCGGUUGCAAUGGUGACAGUGGUAAAUGAAUCAAAUCUGCCAGUGAAAGAUCCAUUCAAACCGAGACUGAGAUGACUUUUGUGUACACACCUUUUCUCCUAAACCCUUUGAAGGAUUUUCACGAAACUUGGGUCAAAUGUGCACCACAUCGUGCACCACAUCGAGAUGAUAUGCAAAACCCACAUUUCAGAUGUGGUCAACCUUGACCUUAAACUGAGGGUUCUCGACAACAUUGUUAUCAAGUACAAGGACUCCACUGUUGCCUUGGUAAAUCCAAGGUCAUGAAAAUGUCAAAGGUUGAUGAGAGGUCAUGGUCUAUGAAAGGCCAGGGUCACUGAGAGUAGAGGCUGCUGCAGAGGACAUCAGAUGGAAAAAUCUCUAAGACGGCAAUAUAUGUUUUUAGAAACACUGAAAUGUAUGAAUUAGUAUGUGAAUGCCUAAUGUUAUAUUAUUUUUUUUAUAAAUGAUUGUAUAAUAAUGUACAAAAUUCAAUAUAGUUUAUUGAAUUGAGAGGAAAUGUUUAUUUUUUCUGAUUUAUGUAUUGUAUUUUUAUGUGUCUUUUUUUGAAAAUAGAUAACAAUUGUAUGAAAAAUUGUUGAACAAUCAUUGCUUAAUUUUAAAAAUAGUAAAUUAACUUCUAAUAUUUUUUCCUGAAAAAAAAUGCCCAAAUAUGUCUUGUUUAAUUUAAAUUACAAAAUCAUCUCUUCAUUUAUAAACAAUAUAUGGUAUUUUUUGGGGGUGUAUAAUUUGCUGAAGGAAUCUAAAAACGUGUUUAAAGAAAAGAAAAAAACCUUUUGUAAAUGAGUAUUAUAGUGUUUUAAUUCUAAGGCUGUUAUAGUUUUCAUAUUUACGUUAAAAAAACAACCUUUUAUGGCUAAAAGCGUUACUUAAAUGCUUUAGGAAAAAUGAUUUUUUUUGCAUAUAUAGCAGUAAAUAUGGGAACCUGCGAUCUGGUUUCCAGACAUAAUCGCAAAAACUUACUGAUUUUAAGACAAAAAAUAUAAAAAGUUAUCGAAACGGUCAAUCUGUGAGAGUGCAGCUUUAAUAAAGAAUAUAGUUUAAAAACAUGUUUCACACCAAUUAUUUAACAUGGGCUUAUGUAUUUACAUAUUCUCAUUUUUCAUUCCACAAAAGAACACACACACUACAUUUACAACAACAGUAAUUUUACCAAGAACGAACAUUUUGGUGUUUUAUAUUAUAAUAAAUAUGUUAGCCUUUAUAAAGUUAACAAUAUGUGAUGACCAUAGGUUAGUACCUAUUACUAUUUUAACACAAUGUCAUACAAAUUAAUAAAAAAAAGUUCAUACAAAUAUCAUAUCAAAAUCCUGAACGCAUUGUUAUAUGGAAAGCUACUUAUAAAGUAAGCAUCUGUUUUAUCAUGUAUUUGUUGCACUUGAGUUAUGUAAAAUAAACUUGGUCAGCAACUGAUGUCAAAGUCGUAAAUCAUAUCCAAAAUGUCAAGAGCUGGGAUACAUAUUUAAAAGGCAAAUAUUAUAGAACAAAACAUUUCCUGCACUUUGAAUAGUUGACAUUUUGCUUUUUCAUGGUGUGCAUAUUUUAUUUCUAUGAAAUUGAAAAACUUAAGUGCUUGGCAAACAUGGUAUUCUAAUUCGGUUAACAAAAUAUACGUCUAUUUCAAAGUAUAACUAAAAAACUAUAAAGGCAGUAAUCUAAUUCUUCUCCCUGAUUUUUGAGUUUAUAAAACUUAAUAAUUGAUUACAUGGGAAUCGUCAAACAUGGGUUUGGCUCGGCUGUAAAUGGUGUGUAAGCAAUGUUCGAGGGGGUCUGGGGCCAUCCCCCUCCUUCUCCUCCCUCUCUCCUAUCUGGGUUUUUGUUCAGCUUGAUUGUCAGAGAUGUGUUAUGUCUUAUAACUUAGGAAGACAGUAGACAAUAUUUCGAUGUUAUCAUUUAUUUAAAAUGACAUUUUUAAUUUUUCUUUACUACUCUAAAAGAUAAAACCUAUGUCAGUGUAUAUUUUAUUGCAUUUCAUUAAAUGUAAAACCCAGUUAAAAUUGAAAAGCAUAUAUGUGCACAUGUAGCAGUGUUUAAGUAAUAUACAUGUAUAGAAUGUUAGGUUAUUUCAUAUCUUUGUUAUCAUUAUAUAAUCAUGAUUUAUUGUUUUACUCAGAUGUUAAAUGCUUUGUGUUCUUAGUAUAGAAAGUGAACAUACCAGUCUGAAUUAAAACUUCUUUUUUUAUAUAAUAUAAUGCAAUAAGAAAAAAAAAGAAUCCUGUUUUUAAAAAUAUUCCAGAAUAUAAUAAUAGAUGUUGGCAAUUUAGUGUGAAUAUUUCCUGGUGCAGCUUAAUAAAUAAUAACUCGUUGUAUUUCC